This 429-nucleotide ribosomal RNA is filed under the name Gemmatimonadota bacterium. RNAcentral's name for it is "Gemmatimonadetes bacterium partial 16S ribosomal RNA". It matches the Rfam family "Bacterial small subunit ribosomal RNA", at positions 355 to 776 of the family's 1533-position model. Lineage: Bacteria; Pseudomonadati; Gemmatimonadota. The record is from RNAcentral.
UAGGGAAUCUUCGGCAAUGGACGAAAGUCUGACCGAGCAACGCCGCGUGAGUGAAGAAGGUUUUCGGAUCGUAAAACUCUGUUGUUAGAGAAGAACAAGGACGUUAGUAACUGAACGUCCCCUGACGGUAUCUAACCAGAAAGCCACGGCUAACUACGUGCCAGCAGCCGCGGUAAUACGUAGGUGGCAAGCGUUGUCCGGAUUUAUUGGGCGUAAAGCGAGCGCAGGCGGUUUCUUAAGUCUGAUGUGAAAGCCCCCGGCUCAACCGGGGAGGGUCAUUGGAAACUGGGGGACUGGAGUGCAGAAGAGGAGAGUGGAAUUCCAUGUGUAGCGGUGAAAUGCGUAGAUAUAUGGAAGAACACCAGUGGCGAAGGCGGCUCUCUGGUCUGAAACUGACGCUGAGGGUCGAAAGCGUGGGGAGCAAACAGG